Molecule: long non-coding RNA, 796 nt
Organism: Syzygium oleosum
Lineage: Eukaryota; Viridiplantae; Streptophyta; Magnoliopsida; Myrtales; Myrtaceae
Exons: 2
Source: RefSeq, a predicted model, not a curated record
AUACUUGAUAUCUGCUGAGGAUCUGUGAGGUGAACAAUGAAUGUACUCGUGAGAAUGUGGUAAUUAAAAGACAACCACUAGAUAUCUUUGAUUGGAUCAUGCUCUUGUUGUGGUUCUGUUGUAGUGCGAGAAUACGGUAAAGAUGGUCAAGAGACCAUGACCAUCUUUAGGAUUGUAAUUGGAGCUUGUUCUCUAGGAUGCUGGCAAUUGGCUUUCUUCGGACAAUGUUCUGAAAAGAAAUCUACUAUGAAUACCCCGAUUCUUGUAUUGCAGUAUGUUACGUCUUCCUACGAUCUGGCACUGUUGUCAUAAGAAGAAAAAUAGAUAAGUACCAUCUUGGAAUCUCCGUCCAAACAGUCAAUUCUGGAGAGAACCAAAGCUACCACCAGCCCCUCCGCCGCCACCAUUCCCCAAGGGCUAUACUCCACCAACUACAGAAGCGGAGAAAGGUGCAGAGACUCAGCAACAGCAGAAUCAGUAACUCCCAUUGAUCCCAUAAUUGAUCAAGGCCCUGCUAAACGGAUGAAGUUUUGAAAAAUGAAGAGCUGUGCUCCCAGAUUGACAUCACAUAGAAACCUCGGAAGAAAAGCCAUUCUUGUGACCAUCAACUGAACCACACAAUGACUUGGGAAGAAGUCUGUUAGAGUGAACCGCUCAGCUCUUGCAUUAGACAAAAGAAUGCACAAGUCUUUUUGGUUUCAUUCUUUGUUUUAUCUUGUAUAUUCGUUGUAUGGUGGAUCAACUCGACACAAGCUCAAGUUUUAAUUUGAUCCAUGGAAAAGGAUGAUUAUUGGUA